Molecule: ribosomal RNA, 480 nt
Filed under: uncultured bacterium
Lineage: Bacteria
Description: bacterial SSU rRNA
Rfam family: Bacterial small subunit ribosomal RNA
Source: RNAcentral
CGGCAUGCCUUACACAUAGCAAGUCGAACGGCAGCAUGGAAGAGCUUGCUCUUCUGAUGGCGAGUGGCGAACGGGUGAGUAAAGCAUCGGAACGUACCGUGGUAUGGGGGGAUAACGUAGCGAAAGUUACGCUAAUACCGCAUACGCACUGAGGUGGAAAGCAGGGGAUCGCAAGACCUUGCGCUAUACGAGCGGCCGAUGUCAGAUUAGCUAGUUGGUAGGGUAAAGGCCUACCAAGGCGACGAUCUGUAGCGGGUCUGAGAGGAUGAUCCGCCACACUGGGACUGAGACACGGCCCAGACUCCUACGGGAGGCAGCAGUGGGGAAUUUUGGACAAUGGGCGAAAGCCUGAUCCAGCCAUGCCGCGUGUGUGAAGAAGGUCUUCGGAUUGUAAAGCACUUUAAGUUGGGAGGAAGGGCAGUAACCUAAUACGUUAUUGUUUUGACGUUACCGACAGAAUAAGCACCGGCUAACUUCGUG